Molecule: non-coding RNA, 251 nt
Filed under: Jeotgalibaca sp.
Lineage: Bacteria; Bacillati; Bacillota; Bacilli; Lactobacillales; Carnobacteriaceae
Description: T-box sequence
Rfam family: T-box leader
About the family: Uncharged tRNA acts as the effector for transcription antitermination of genes in the T-box leader family. T-boxes are found upstream of many aminoacyl-tRNA synthetase genes and some amino acid biosynthetic genes usually in Gram-positive bacteria.
Source: RNAcentral
AAGAAUGCAUUGAUAAGAUAAGUAUUCUUGUUUGUUUGCAAAGAGAGUCUAUGUUUGGUGCAAAUAGAUGAAAGAAACAAGAAGAAAAUGGUCUUUGAGCAAUCAAUGGCAAGUGUGGUUACAUGAGCUAUUGACGGUAGUACCCGUUAAAAAUACUGAGUAUAAAGCAUUUUUUUGUGAUGUACUUAAUGAGGUUGUUUCUGUGAAGAAGCAAUAAAUGAAGGUGGUAACACGGAAAAUCCGCCCUUCUC